Long non-coding RNA from Girardinichthys multiradiatus, 1886 nucleotides. RefSeq lists it as uncharacterized. The transcript is spliced from 3 exons. Lineage: Eukaryota; Metazoa; Chordata; Actinopteri; Cyprinodontiformes; Goodeidae. The record is from RefSeq and is a predicted model, not a curated record.
CCUUUACCUUAAAGCUCAGCAUGAGCUCAAAUAGACAGGCUUUCAACCAAAGCUUGGUGUCUCUUGGUAGUCUCUAAGGUGUCUCGAAGAAAUGUCUUUACACACGACACUGCAAGCGAGAGUGAUCUUCAGUAGAGGGUCGCAGGGGUGCUGGUGCCUAUCUCCAGCGGUCAACAGGCGAAGAGCUUUUUCCUUUCAGGGGUUGCCACAGCGAUCACCUGUCUUCAUCGAACCCCAUCUUCAGCAUUUUCUUCUUUUACACCCACUACCUUCAAGUCCUCUUUGACUCCAUCCUUAAAUCCUCUUUGGUCUUCCUCUAGGCCUCCUGCCUGGCACUUCCAGCCUCACCAUCCUUCUACCGAUGUACUCAGUAUCCCUUCUCUGACCAUGUCUGGCCGCUCUGGCUUUAUCUCCAAAACAUUGAACAUGAGCUGUCCCUCUGAUAAAGUCAUUCCUGAUCCUAUCCAUCCUCAUCACUCAAGAUAACCUCAAUAUCUUCAUCUCCACUACCUCCAGCUCUGACCCCUGUCUCUUCCUCAGUGCCGCUGUCUCUAAAUCAAACAACAUUGCUGGUCUCACCACCGUCUUGUACACCUUUCCUUUCAUUCUUGCUGACAUUUUGUUUAUCAUACAACACACCUGACACUGUUCCCCGUCCAUUCCAACCUACCUGGACACGUUUCUUCACCUCUUUUCUAAACUUACGGUUGCUCUGGACUGCUAACCCUCCUCUGCAUCAUUUCAACCAACUCUCUAGCUUUUCCCGUCAUAGUCCCAACAUUCAAAGUUCGUACUCUCAGGCCUAGACUCUUGCCUUUCCUCUUCUCUCUCUACUUACGGACGCAUCUUCUUCCUCAUCUGCCUCUUUUUAUUUGUUGACCAACAGUGCCCAAUUUCAACCAGUACCCUGUGUGUCACCGCCAUCAAUGGCGGUCGUUGAUAUGCAUUACACUAACUAAAGCCUAUAUAUGCUUAUUUUAAUCUCAGUAUAAAUACAGUUGUUCAGUAUUUAAAACAAUAUCACACACUUAAAAUAUCUCACAGAGAACUGUUAAAUUUAUCAUCAUGAAAUUAAGAGUAUGGUGCAAAUCUACCCAUGCCCACCUGAACCGAUAGGCAAGAAGAGAAUUAAUCACAGAAGCAGCUAAGCAACCCAUGGUUACUCUGGAGGAGCUGCAGAGAUCCACAGCUUAGGUAAAAGUUGCCAGUAAAAUCAUGAGGUGUGCAUUCCAUAAAUCUGGAUGUUAUGGAGGAGUUUCAAAAAGAGAAACACUAUUGAAAGAAAGCCAUAAGAAGUUAAGCAUAAAAUCUUGUCCAAUGCUAGGUGCUCCGGUCAGAUUACACCAAAAUGUAUGCAAAAAAAGGACUUGUAUGAAAAUAAAUAUAUCUAAAUAUCUGUGCAUUACCCUCAACAUAUUUUCCCACACUGAAAUACAAUGGUAGCAGCAUCAUGUUGUCGUAAUAUUUCUCUUCAGCAAAGACAAGGAAGCCAGUCAGAGGAAGUGGAAAGUGAAUGGGACUGAAUACAUGUUAAAUGCUGGAAGAAAACCUAGCAGAGACUGCAAAAGACUUUAUACUGCAGGGAAGGUUCACCUACCAGCAGGACAAAAAGCCUCAGGCAGCCAGAACUUGAACAAAAUGAUUUAAAUCAAAGCAUAUUCUUGUGUUAGAGUGGCCAGGUCGAAGCCUUGCAAAUGAUGUUCAUUAAAGCUCUGAAUGAAAUCUGAGCGAGCUUUUGCUAAUUUGCAAAACAAUGGGCAAAAUGUAGGGGGUAUGCCCAAAGAGACAUACCCCCUAAAAUUGGCUGCUGUAAUUGCAGUGAAAGGCUCUACAAGGUUUUUCUACUUUUAUUUGUAGAAAUAAUAAAUAAAUAAAUUAUCAUAAUA